GACGAACGCUGGCGGCGUGCUUAACACAUGCAAGUCGAACGGAAAGGCCCCUUUGGGGGUACUCGAGUGGCGAACGGGUGAGUAACACGUGAGUAACCUGCCCUUGACUUCGGGAUAACUUCAGGAAACUGGGGCUAAUACCGGAUAGGAAUCCUUGCUGCAUGGUGGGGGUUGGAAAGCUUCGGCGGUUUUGGAUGGACUCGCGGCUUAUCAGCUUGUUGGUGGGGUAGUGGCUUACCAAGGCUUUGACGGGUAGCCGGCCUGAGAGGGCGACCGGCCACAUUGGGACUGAGAUACGGCCCAGGCUCCUACGGGAGGCAGCAGUGGGGAAUAUUGCACAAUGGGCGGAAGCCUGAUGCAGCAACGCCGCGUGCGGGAUGACGGCCUUCGGGUUGUAAACCGCUUUCAGCAGGGGCGAAGCUUUUGUGACGGUACCUGCAGAAGAAGCACCGGCUAACUACGUG
Molecule: ribosomal RNA, 464 nt
Filed under: uncultured bacterium
Lineage: Bacteria
Description: partial 16S ribosomal RNA
Rfam family: Bacterial small subunit ribosomal RNA
Source: RNAcentral